Long non-coding RNA from Felis catus (domestic cat), 1810 nucleotides. RefSeq lists it as uncharacterized. The record is from RefSeq and is a predicted model, not a curated record. The transcript is spliced from 2 exons. Lineage: Eukaryota; Metazoa; Chordata; Mammalia; Carnivora; Felidae.
CGACGCGGGGCUCGAACUCACGGACCGUGAGAUCGUGACCUGAGCCGAAGUCGGAAGCUUAACCGACCGAGCCACCCAGGCGCCCCGAUAGUUGGUAUUAUUAACAUCAUCAUUACCGUUGUUACUUCCCCUUCCUUCCGAUGUUUAUUGCGCUGCCUCUAGGCAUGAGGUUCUGGGCCAGGCUCUGGACAGAGGAGGUCUGUCCCACCCCAUUGUCUUAGGGGUUGACAUGCUUGCAUCCACUUCCACUCAGCUCUCUUUAGACGUGACAUUUUGCAUGGAGUUAAGGCUGAACGCCGAAGGAGAACCCCUAAUUUCCAGGUACUGGAAAAGGUCAGGAGUGGAACAGAGGGUUAGAUUUGGUGUUUUGAUGACAGGAUAGCUAAUGGGCCUAAAAUCCGUCUGUCACUUGGGAACCGAGGUUUCCCGGGACCAGAAAACUAACAAGCGCAUUAGCAGUAGGUUUCAGUGUGCCUAUUUGCCACGCGCGGUAAGUAAACAAACUCUCCCAGGUUGGAGUGCGGCGUCUGGGGAGGGGCCCUGGUGGAGGGCAGGGGCCCGGGCGUGGAGCAGGUGACUCUCUUAGAGGCAGACCAAAGGAUUCCAAAUGGGACGUGGGACUGUCUUUCCGGGUCCCCCUUAGAGCAUUAGGUGGAUGGCAAAGACAGCCGGAUAAUCUGGAGAUGCAAUAGCCCUGGGGUAAUUGAGAGUUGGAGGCCUGAGCUCUGAGCAGUAUUCCUUCAAAAUCGCUGCUUUGCAUAAUGAAGUUGCCAAGCAGCCCUGGAAUUCUCUGUGGUUUCCAUCUCCUUUCUCCACUCGUCCCACGUUCUCCACGGGCUGCUGCCCCUCUAUCUGCAUGUUUAUGGGACGAGCCGCAGCAACCGUGGUCACAUUUUCAGAGAAACUGCAAGAGUGCUCCGCUAACUUCAAGAAACCUCCAAAUUCAGGGGCACCGGUUGAGCAUCUGGCUUCAGCUCAGGUCAUGAUCUCGCAGUUCGUGAGUUCGAGCCCCGCGUGGGGCUCCGUGCUGACAGCUCAGAGCCUGGAACCUGCUUCGGAGUCUGUGCCUCCCUCUCUCUCUGCCCCUCCCCACCCCUCUCAAAAAUAAAGAUUAAAAUAAUUUUUUUAAAGAAACCUCCAAAUUCAAACUUACCAAGUACAUAAAUUAGGAGAUGGUUAUUUGUACUCCAGGAAGCCUUUUCUUUUACAGUGAGCCUUAACCACAAGAAUCCCUUAACAGUCAGCUUCUCCUAGAUCAUUUUGGGGUCGAGUUAUACCUGGCAGAGGCUUUGGGGGGUAGGGGGGAAGACAUAUAGAGUUAGAGAAUUAGAACCACCGUUGAUAUCUUAACAGUUGGGAGUGAGGAUGAAUCACCUCGGAUAUUCUAACAAAGCUCCAGGGGAAAAUAGCGUUUGAUUCGCAAACACUUGGUGAUUACACAAUUUUUAUAAAGCGGUGUGCAACUUUCGUUCAUCCAUUCAUGCAACGAACACGUAUUGAAUACCUACUGUGUGCCAGGAAAUGUGAGAGGAAUAACUAUAAAUAAUAAAUAGAUAAAUACCGUUGUUUUCAGGGAAACCUCAAGGAAGAAGAAACGGACAUUGAUGGUGUGGGAUGGAAAUUGCCGCCAGGGGGGUAGACAGCAGACACAGCAGACUGAUAGAGGGGGAUCUAAAUCAAAGGGUCCAAAUUUUUCCUGAAAGCAAACAGGGGCCAUUGGAUUAUUUCACGUGAGGGGAUUGAGAUGAUCCUGGUUGCAUGUGAGAAAGAUCAUUCUGGCAGCAGCAAAGAGUGUCAAUUGGGAAGCCAG